AGUCUGGGGUGGUGGUUCUUCCUCAUCAACUGUUUUAGGAUCUGUAACCUGAAAAUCGAGAAUGUUUAUGGCAACAGCCCAAAGAAAUGAAAGGCUUUAAAAGUCUGGGGGAAAGAAUGAGCAAUAAUUCACCUCCUAUUAAAACUAAACUGCUGAAGUUAGGCAUUAUGUAACAGGCAACAAGAAAACAAAUGGUUAGAAGAGAAAAGGAAGCAAAAAGCCAGUUAACAGUGGUGUGGUAUUAGGGAGUGUUCCUUCUACUUUUAAGGGGAAGAGAGGAAAAGAAAAUUGCGGGAAGUUUGCAGCACAGAAACCUCCUUGUGUGCCUCCGGUGUCUGGGCUGCUCCAUUUCUAGGAGUGGAUGCACUUAAUGACAGAAAAACAACCAGAAACCAUCCCUGGCCAAGCAAUCAGACACUGAUGGAUGACACCCCCCCCCCUCUGCCAGGGCCUGAGCAAGUCCUGCAGAAAGAGAUGGCAAAACACAGUAAUAUUGGGAGAAAAGGGCAGGGGGAGCUGCAGGAAUAAAGCAUCCAACACGUGUAACCUGGCAAAACAAGCUCACAGACAAGAACACCUUCACGUGGCCACAGCUGGGGGAGCAGGAUGGGACCUGCAAAUGUGGGAGCUGCAAAUCUGAUCUGAAUGAUUUUUUUGCCUGGUGAUGCCCUUGUAAAUGCAUCAAUAAUGAACAUUUUCCUUGAAAGCAUCAUUUCCCCCCCCCUUAAUCUAUAAAACUGCAGGAAAACAAUUAUUUUUUGAAACUUUUUCGACUUAUAUUUGUGCUGUCCCAAACUAUCCUGCCAAGUGACCUCGAGGAGUGGGGCAGUGUCACCACGGCAGGUGACCAUGUACCUGCCCCACUGAGGAGUGACCCACACAGGGCUUGCCCUGAGAACACACCUGGGAUCAAGAGGACCACGAAUUCCAAAUCAGAAUGGUGAAAGCAGUGGGAAGAAAGUGUGGAAGAACCCUUCUGGGAAGCUGAGCCUCUCUGGGGGUGGGAGAUCAGGACCACGAAGAAAAGGUAAGUGGGGUUUAUUGCUCCAAAUGGAAAUGCAGAAAUCAUAAAGCAAAUUAAAACUUGGCACACAGGUUUCCUGAACCGUGGAAGGACACAGCUCUGCAGGCAGCAGGAUGUUUUUGGUGGAACCAACUGACUCACUGCACUGAUGGUUUCCUGGGCAGUUUUCCAGGAGAGGCGACCAAAGUUUGCUCAUGGGCCAACAAGAUGCUUCCUUCAGGACUUCUUUCACCCCUUCCAACAACAUGGAGCAAUGAAUUAAGGACAUGAGAGUGCCAACACAAUGGAGUCCUGAUCCCUGGCUCCAAGACUCAGAUAUGAAAGAUUUUCAGAACUCCCCGGACAGCAAACAUAAUCAUAUCAACACAGCUUUAAUUAGCAGCAAUCUGCACUAAUUAUUUUUGCCAUCAGCCAAAUUAUAACUGGAAGAAAACAAGUGCUCUUAAUAGCCCUGCUAGAAGAAAGCCUGUCCACUGUUCCUGUCAGAGGAAUGGAGUCACCACACGCCCUCUGAUGUUGUGUCAACUGCUCAUUAGCCCUGGGAAGCAGAAGUUUCACUCCAAGCACAAAGUCCCAGUGGUUUUCCAAGCUUAGAAUUUUCUAUCCCACAACUCCUGGAGCGAUCCAAUGACUCCCACCUUCCCAUUAGGCACAGUAAGUAGCAAGUAAAAGCAACAAACUCCUGUGUAAUGGUUCAUUAGGAGCUGUAAUUACGUUUCCCCUUCAUCCUUCACACAGGUUGGCUGAGAUUUCACAGUCCCAGGAAAACCAGGCCCUUCAAACCCGGGUGCUGCACGUGAUUCUAGAGCUGCUGGUGGCCAAGAGGAAAUCUGGACUGGGAUCUUGGCAGGCUUGAGGCCAAGCAAAUCCACAGGAGACCAUGGAGAUGCUCCAAGGGCUGGAUCCCUCUGCUCUGGAGCC
Lepidothrix coronata (blue-crowned manakin) is the source of this 1945-nucleotide long non-coding RNA. RefSeq lists it as uncharacterized. The transcript is spliced from 3 exons. The record is from RefSeq and is a predicted model, not a curated record. NCBI's taxonomy places the organism in Eukaryota, Metazoa, Chordata, Aves, Passeriformes, Pipridae.